Acanthosepion pharaonis is the source of this 109-nucleotide non-coding RNA. The record is from the annotation of a GenBank genome assembly. Lineage: Eukaryota; Metazoa; Mollusca; Cephalopoda; Sepiida; Sepiidae.
UUACGGCCACAUCACGUUGAAACAUCGGUUCACAUAUGAUCACCGAAUUUAAGCACCGUCGAGCCUGAUUAGUGCCUGGGUGGGUGACCGCUUGGGAAUAACAGGUGCU